This is a non-coding RNA of Durio zibethinus, 634 nucleotides long. The record is from RefSeq and is a predicted model, not a curated record. NCBI's taxonomy places the organism in Eukaryota, Viridiplantae, Streptophyta, Magnoliopsida, Malvales, Malvaceae.
UGAUUUUUCUUUAAAGAUAACUAGUUCCACAAAACAGACAAAACACCCAUAGAAACCAAACUCUCUUUCUCUGGUGCUAACCUCUCAUAAGAAAGGGAACUUUGGUUUAGUUAAAUUGGGAAAACUUUAAAAUUUUAGUGCUUCUUACGAUAUGCGACAGAUAAUUCUUGAAGCAAAAUGCAAGAAUAUUGGUUUCUUUCUCUAGUUGUAUCUUAUUUACUGUGAGUAGAUUUUAAAAUGAUUUUGUACAAAACUAAAGAGAUUUUGAAAAAGAUAUAAAUAGAGUUGCAAAGAAGAAGGAGAAAGGAAAGGAGUGAAUGAAGUUGAUGAGCUGGAGAGGAGGGAGAUACUCACUUGGAUGUCAAAUAAGUUAAAAUACCUUUAUUUUGGAAUAAAGUUUAAAAGGAUUCUAGUUAUGAAAUUAAGAUUAUAAAGUACCUUUGCCCAGGAAAAACCUCAAGCUUCUCUUUCCCGAUUCCCCUUCUCCGCCAUCUCCCUUUUUUCUAUCUCUCACCCUCUUUCUCUUUGGGCUGCCGAUCACUAGCGCUCACUCCUUGCUCUUCCACCACCGGCAACUCACCUCUCUCAAGAAAGCUUUUCUCCAUUAAUCACACUUGAAGUUUAUUUUAUUCGG